Molecule: small RNA, 78 nt
Filed under: Flavobacterium frigoris
Lineage: Bacteria; Pseudomonadati; Bacteroidota; Flavobacteriia; Flavobacteriales; Flavobacteriaceae
Description: Flavo-1 RNA
Rfam family: Flavo-1 RNA
Source: RNAcentral
UUCUAGCCCUGAUAGAAGUAAAAAUCCUCUUGUGCCGGUGUUCGGCACAAGAGAUUGAAACGAAUAGCAGGAUUAGCU